RNAcentral lists this ribosomal RNA (405 nucleotides) under Triticum aestivum (bread wheat). Its description in RNAcentral is "partial small subunit ribosomal RNA". The record is from RNAcentral. Lineage: Eukaryota; Viridiplantae; Streptophyta; Magnoliopsida; Poales; Poaceae.
AUGAAGUCACAUAUCAUUUGUUUGGCAUAUGUAGUAGUUGUAGUUGCACACAUAAUUAUUUCAGUUGGAUACGAUCACUGGAAAAUUGCACACAUGCUGAUGCUAUGUUGGCUAGAUGAUGUGUCGCGCUCCCGUUGGCAUAGUUGUACAUGUGUGGCCACCGAAUUGCACACUCUCACCGGCAUAGUCGCACAUGCAUGGGUGCGCACCGCCAUAAUAGUUGUAGUCUCCUCCCUCCUCUUUCUUGGAGUUGAAGCAAGUGUUUCCCAGCCGCCGCAGCCGGAAAGGGCCGCCGCGCUCCUCCUACCGGCGCCGCGGCUACGCACUCGGCCGCCGUUCUCAAGGAAGGUGUCCUCGUGCCGCUGGCCGCCGUCGUCGUCGGAAGAAGUGGAUUCGAUCUUGUAG